Molecule: long non-coding RNA, 1436 nt
Organism: Nerophis ophidion (straightnose pipefish)
Lineage: Eukaryota; Metazoa; Chordata; Actinopteri; Syngnathiformes; Syngnathidae
Exons: 2
Source: RefSeq, a predicted model, not a curated record
CUUUGGGUUCAUUUCAGACCUUUUCGGACUUCUCCAAAUGUGCUUGGAUCCUGAUGAGACCUAGACGUACUCUCUAAGUUUUCAAUGGUGGUGGAAAACUAUGUAUCCAGAUGAGGGUAAUUCUAAAAUAAUGAAAGUGUACAAAAGCUUUGUGACAUAAAUGAUUAAGUUGAUAAAGUGUAAAGGGGUUGAGAAAUCACAAAGUAGAUUAGCAUCAAGUAACAGACAUUGUCACACUCACGCAGUUUGAUCAAAGAUUGAAGUAGUCCGACUUAGGUAUGUGGAACAAUUCCUUACAGAGGACAACCAUCCAGUCAUGACUAAAUACCAAUGACUGACAUCAUUAUGACUUGGACCUGUCGACCAGUCCUUAGCUUGUAUCCGUCUGGCUAGCAUUAGCAUCUGCUUCAAUGUACAUCCCUGAACAACAUUCUAGGACAUCCUUCAACUGGCCUGUUUACUCCCAACAUGUUUGCUUAUGUCAACAAGACAUACUUUAACUUCCACUCCACAUACCAACCAACGAGCUGGUCCCUGUCUUUCUGCUAUUUCUCGUCUACCAUCGAUGUUUUCUUAACGCACCACGGGAUAGGAACAAGCCCGGGAACGUUUUUUUGCGGCUCGCUUUUGUGCAGGCUCCUUUGCCUGGAAACAUUCGAAAAAUGGCGGAGGCAAACAGUACGGAUAGUUCAGCGGAGAAACAUCUUGAGGUUAAUGCUUCAAUGGACGAAAGUGUACAACCUAAGUCGUCAAAAGUGUGGGGACAAUUUACUUUAAAGACUUCAAAGAAGACCAUUUCCUGCCAAAUGUGCAGCAUGGACCUCGCAUGACAUGGAAAUACAACAUUGCUUCGGGAGCAACUGAAGAGGAAACAUGUUGGAGCCAUGGAUGAUGAAAGAAACAACCCAGCAUGAAUUGAUUUACUUGGACCCCGACUUAAACAAGUUGAAAAAUGUAUUCGAGUGUUACCAUUUAGUGGUCAAUUGUACAGAAUAUGUACUGAACUGUGCAAUCUACUAAUAAAAGUUUCAAUCAAUCAAUCAAAAGCAUUAGCGACUUGGUACAAAGGAAGGUCUGCACACCACACCAAGCGGCUGCAUUGACUGAUGCUACCUGAAUAUGUUGCUAACUGACAUGAGGCCACUAUCAAUUGUGGAGGAUGAAGGUUUUAGACAAAUGAUUCACAUCCUCAACCCUGGUUACACUCUUCCCUCGAGGACCCAUUUUACCAAAGUGAUGGAGAGGAAACACGAGCAGACAUUCCAAGCAUUGUAGACUGACAUAAAAGCCACCCAGAGCAAAAAUUGCUCUCACUACUGAUGUGUGGACAAGUGUAGCCACGGAAACCUACCUUGGCAUGCCAUUACAUCGGAGACGAAUGGAAUAUUAAGUCAAUCUGCCUUACGACCAUGCCACUAGAGGAAAGACAUUCAGCA